RNAcentral lists this ribosomal RNA (98 nucleotides) under Staphylococcus hominis. RNAcentral's name for it is "partial 16S ribosomal RNA". It matches the Rfam family "Bacterial small subunit ribosomal RNA", at positions 1 to 92 of the family's 1533-position model. Lineage: Bacteria; Bacillati; Bacillota; Bacilli; Caryophanales; Staphylococcaceae. The record is from RNAcentral.
UUUAUGGAGAGUUUGAUCCUGGCUCAGGAUGAACGCUGGCGGCGUGCCUAAUACAUGCAAGUCGAGCGAACAGACGAGGAGCUUGCUCCUUUGAUGUU